RNAcentral lists this long non-coding RNA (523 nucleotides) under Rhinolophus ferrumequinum (greater horseshoe bat). Its description in RNAcentral is "lncRNA (ENSRFEG00010015004.1)". Lineage: Eukaryota; Metazoa; Chordata; Mammalia; Chiroptera; Rhinolophidae. The record is from RNAcentral.
CAGUCUGUGGACUUCACCACAGCUGCCUCUGCCUGGCCCAGCCGCCUGUGAUGUCUGCCGUGACCCCACGUCCCCGCGCUCCGCCUUCGUGGGCACCGGUCUCCCACUCAGCACUGUCGAACACCCACUAAUGCUUGGUCAUAAGACUUGCCUUUCAAUUCCUGGCCACUGGGGACUCCACCCUGGGCUGAGCCUGCCAGGCCCAGCUUCAGGGACCAGCCCUGCCGAGAGAGACUCGAGAGUCAGAGGCCCUGCAGGGGGGACGCCUGAAGCCCAGUCGCCUGCCCCGACCCACACAGCAUGCUCAAGUGUAGCUUUGUGGCUCCUUGCUUUUAGUCUACUCCCCCGAGACCACCCCCUCCCGUCUGGGAUGUCCCCAUGGGAAGUGACAGGAUUAACCAGACUUGGAGCUGAAGUCUCUCUUUAUUGCACUGGUGAUGUGUUCGGGGGCGCCACAGGCAGGGGAGGUGCAGAGGGUACCACCUCCUCUUCGGUCAGCAUCUCUGCCAGGACUCGGGUCUGA